AUGCGGGGGCUGGGACCCACCAAGGACUGCAGCACUGAGGUGGUGACAUCACAUGCUGCACAGAAGCCCCUGAGAGGGUUGCGGCCCUCAGGGCUCACCUGACUGCCCCUGAAGCAGCCAGAGCCCACCAGACCCCCUCAGGGGACAGCGAUCCCCCGAGGCAUCCCGGGCCACCACCGGGCCACGGAGCAGCACUCCAGCCCCACUCCAGGGUCAUUUUUUGUCCUCUCCCAUCUGAGCAGUGUUACCAGGCCCCAGGGGGACCUGAGAAUCAGGGCCGGCCUGGGUGGGGUCCCAUGGAGUACUCCAGCGCAAUCAGGGGCUCCCUGCAGACAGGAGGGGCCUUCGCCCUGGAAGCCUGGACGCUGAGAUAGACUUGCUGAGCAGCACGCUGGCCGAGCUGAAGGGGGGUCGGGGUCAUGCGCCCCUGCGACCAGACCAACAGGCAGAGGAGCCCCCGCCACCUCCUGCCUCCCGCCCGGGCUCUCUGAAGCCGAACCCAGCCUCGCGCUCCCCGCGUCUCCCUAUGGGGGCCCCACUGCAGCCUCUUAUGCUGCCGCCAGCACCCCCUGGCCGGCCUUCCCCGUGCAAGCGAAGGUGGCACAGUCAGUGAGGGGCUGCGGCCCACCCAGGCGGGGAACCUCUCAGGCCUCUGGGCCCCUCCCGGGCCCCCACUUUCUGUCCCAGGCCACGGUGAAGUCUGGGGGCCUGGCUAUAGGAGCCAGAGAGCGCCAGGGCCAGGGGCCAAAGAGGAAGCUGCGGGGGUCUCUGGCCCCGCAGGAGGAGGAAGAGGACGCGAGCACGGCCCCAGGUGCCCCUGAGCCACCUCGGGAGGAUGAGCUUGUCAGGCUGUCGAAGAAGCAGGUGCACGACAUGAACCACCCGCCCAGCGGGGAGUACUUUGGCCGGUGUGGUGGCUGCGGAGAUGUGGUCGGGGAUGGGGCUGGGGUUGUGGCCCUCGAUUGCGUCUUUCAUGUGGGCUGUUUUGUGUGUUCUACAUGCCAGGCCCAGCUUCGGGGCCAGCAUUUCUACGCCAUGCAGAGAGGGCGUGUUGCCAGGGCUGCUACGUGGCCACCCGGGAGAAAUGUGCCACGUGCUCCCAGCCCACCCUGGACCGGAUCCUGCGGGCUAUGGGGAAGGACUACCACCCCAGCUGCUUCACCUACCUGGUGUGUCACCGCGGCCUCGACGGCACCCCCUUCACGGUGGACACUACCAGCCAGAUCCACUGCAUUGAGGACUUUCACAGGAAGUUUGCCCCAAGAUGCUGAGUGUGCGGUGGGGCCAUAAUGCCUGCGCCACAUCAGGAGGAGACUGAGAAUUGUUGCUCUGGAUCGAAGUUUUCACAUUGGCUGUUACAAGUGCGAAGAGUGUGGGCCACUGCUCUCCUCUGAGGGCGAGUGUCAGGGCUGCUACCCACUGGAUGGACACAUCCUGUGCAAGGCCUGCGGCUCCUGGUGCAUCCAGCUCUCAACCACCUUCACCACUGACUGCUGAGUCUUCCUAGAAGUCCCUGCUGGGUUCUCAGUUCCAGUUCCCAUCCAUCAAUCGAUCACCCUCCCUGACAUCCCCCUGUAUGACUUCCUCACCAAAUGCUGUCUCCUCUUUCUCCAAUCAAGAAAUAAUAAUCCCUCGAGUUUACAAA
Cercocebus atys (sooty mangabey) is the source of this 1645-nucleotide RNA transcript. It is a transcript of the gene named thyroid receptor-interacting protein 6 pseudogene, with no coding region annotated. The record is from RefSeq and is a predicted model, not a curated record. The transcript is spliced from 2 exons. NCBI's taxonomy places the organism in Eukaryota, Metazoa, Chordata, Mammalia, Primates, Cercopithecidae.